This 3248-nucleotide long non-coding RNA is filed under the name Salmo salar (Atlantic salmon). RNAcentral's name for it is "lncRNA (ENSSSAG00000096230.1)". The record is from RNAcentral. Lineage: Eukaryota; Metazoa; Chordata; Actinopteri; Salmoniformes; Salmonidae.
CUCAGACUUUCCGUGCGGCGCUCCAGCCGUUCUUCUAGCGAGAGGUCGUACAACGGUGGCAGUAUCCACGCGGCCCGCGUUUACAGAACAAUACGCACAGUAGAACCCACUGGAACAUCUGAAUAAUGUUGCCGAAGCUUUCCGAAAGUACAAAUUGAGCGGUUUUUGGGUGUUUUUUUAAAAUCCAUUUGGAUCAAUCGCGUUUGGUUGCGCACCAGACGAGACACGUGCCUUCGAGGUAAACAGACAGCAGGACUGGACAGCCAGAUAGUAGCCUUGGUUAACGUUACAUUGUUUUUCUCCUGCGUUUUAAGCGUGCAUAAGCGGUUAUAACGCCACCAUAGUGGACGUAGACGUCGAGCGGAGGUUCAUUUUGUUUUCGUUUGUGCACCUUGGUUGAUAAUUGAGACGCAGUUGGACAUGUCGGAAGUACUACAAGACAAAAUGAGUCAUUAUGGAAAUGAGGAUGACGAGGGACACCUUUCCUUCACCUGUCGUCUCCAAGACACCAACAACUUCUUCAGCGGCUCGCAGGGGGGAAAACGCCCGCCCAAACUUGGACAGAUAGGCAGAAGCAAACGAGUUGUCGAGGACGAGAACGGUGUUGACGAGGCGCUAAAAAACGGGACAGAGAAAACACAGACAGAGGCUUAAACACAUCAACCCCCGGAAGGACAUAGAUUCUCAUUUUCUAUUUGAUCCAAAGACACUGUAUAUAAGCACUUUUACUCCAUGUGGCAGCAAGCACUUCCUGUCCCAUCUCCUCUCUCUCCCAGUCCUCAUGAUGAUCUCCUGAGACUUAUACUGGCAGGAUGGGGAAGCAGCCGAGAUGGAGACAGACAGAGAGAUGAAGACAGAGGUGGAGACAGAGAGAGUGAUGGAGACAGACAGAGAGAUGAAGACAGAGGUGGAGACAGAGAGAGUGAUGGAGACAGACAGAGAGAUGAAGACAGAGAGAUGAAGACAGAGGUGGAGACAGAGAGAGUGAUGGAGACAGACAGAGAGAUGAAGACAGAGGUGGAGACAGAGAGAGUGAUGGAGACAGACAGAGAGAUGAAGACAGAGGUGGAGACAGAGAGAGUGAUGGAGACAGACAGAGAGAUGAAGACAGAGGUGGAGACAGAGAGAGUGAUGGAGACAGACAGAGAGAUGAAGACAGAGGUGGAGACAGAGAGAUGAAGACAGAGGUGGAGACAGAGAGAGAGACAGAGAUGAAGAGAGAGGCGGAGAGAGAGAGACAGAGAUGAAGAGAGAGGCAGAGAGAGACGGAUGAAGAGAGAGGCGGAGACAGAGAGAGAGACAGAUACAGAGACAGAGAUAAAGAGAGAGGCAGAGACAGAGAUGAAGACAGAGAUAAAGAGAGAGGCGGAGACAGAGAGAGAGGCGGAGACAGAGAGAGAGGCGGAGACAGAGAGAGGCGGAGACAGAGAUAAAGACAGAGACAGAGAUAAAGAGAGAGGCAGAGACAGAGAUGAAGACAGAGACAGAGAUGAAGAGAGAGAUAAAGAGAGAGGCGGAGACAGAGAGAGAGGCGGAGACAGAGAGAGAGGCGGAGACAGAGAGAGGCGGAGACAGAGACAGAGAUAAAGACAGAGACAGAGAUAAAGACAGAGAUAAAGAGAGAGGCAGAGACAGAGAUGAAGACAGAGACAGAGAUGAAGAGAGAGACAGAGAUGAAGACAGAGAUGAAGAGAGAGACAGAGAUGAAGAGAGAGACAGAGAUGAAGAGAGCGACAGAGAUGAAGAGAGAGGCGGAGACAGAGGCCCAGGUGAAAUAGGUGAAUUCUAUCAUCCAGGGUUUAGGCCCACAGAACUCUUCUAAAACAGGAAUGGCCUAAGAGAGCUACUGGGUGAGCAGCAGGCUUUUGCUCCAGCCCUACACUUUUUUUACACUAGUCAACCAUUGGUCGUACAAUCAAAACUCCUAAGCAGGCAGCCAACAAAUGUAGCCGUGUAGAAAGGGUCUUUCACACACCAGAUUCAGCCAAUCAAGUUCCUGGGUAGCAGGUGAUUAGUAGAAUCAGGUGUGUUUACAGUAUGUUUGGAGCAGCUAAACCAUGUAACCAGGAGAGGAUGAUGAAGGAGGAAGAGGAUGAAUCUAAGGUUCCAGCGGUAGAAAGAGACGAUGCUUUCGAACCCUCACAGAAAUCAGGGAAGGAACAGUAUAAAAACAGUAUAAAUGAUCUACUUAACUAAAGCACACAUUGUUAUAUCAAUCAAACCGUAUGAUAUUACAUAACCAUUCUUUCUGCUCUUGAUUCUUAUGACGACGAGUGCAAACAAAUAAUAUAGGAAACGUGUAAAUAAGAAAUGGUAGCCCCACGUUUUGUUAGCCUGGACACCAGUCUGUUCCUGCUGUCUUGUCAACUCCUUAUGGAAUUGUCAUGUUUGGCGUCAGAAUGAGUGAUAAAGAGUUGGCAAGACAGCACAAAUAGAUCUGGAAACCAGGCUAGCGUUUUGUUGCACAGAGGAGAAAAGAAGCGUGAAAUGGUUUGUUGUAAUCUAACAUAACGUGUGUGUGUAAAGAUACCUUAUUUAUUGACCCUUUGGAUACGUAUUUUCCAGUGCUCAAGGCCUGACUGAGGGACAGUUUUGUAUGUAGAGAAUUGCGAUGACAGAAUGAAUGAAAGCGAUUUCCCCUUUUUUACUUCUUAUGAAUUUUUAUGUCGCCUGAUCAGUUUUUGCAGCUAUAGAGUCAUUUAUAUACGUUAUACAGGACUGUACAUCACAUGUUUGUAAUGUUCCAAGAGGCUUAAGUCUGGAUCGUUAAAUACAACUGUACACCCUCCCCUAUUGAUAAACUAUUUCUAUUGCAUUGCGCAUUAUCGUGUGUGCCAAAUAUCAUGAGGGAUAAGCAGACCACUUGGUUGUUUAUGUUGUGCUUUCUAUACCGUUAUAAAUGUAGACAUUUUGUUCUUCUUCGGUUGUUGCCAUUGUUCAGGGCUAUUUCUUACCACUGAAUUACCAACGCAUGCAUGGCAGAAAUGGGUGGAUGCAUGGCAGAAAUGGGUUGAUGCAUGGCAGAAAUGGGUUGAUGCAUGGCAGAAAUGGAUUGAUGCAUGGCAACGUUCUAAAGAUGAUCUUAGUGUAUUCUGGAACACCUGGUACCCAGCUUUGAACGACUAACCUCCAGAACCAUCUUAAUACUACAUACCUUGUACUGUACUGUACUGUACUAUGAUCUUACUGAUUUGUACUGUAGCCUAAUAUCUUGUAAUAAAGAUUCUGAAGAAGAUAAUUAAGAAGUG